UGGGGAAUUUUGGACAAUGGGCGAAAGCCUGAUCCAGCAAUGCCGCGUGUGUGAAGAAGGCCUUCGGGUUGUAAAGCACUUUUGUCCGGAAAGAAAUCCUUGGCUCUAAUACAGUCGGGGGAUGACGGUACCGGAAGAAUAAGCACCGGCUAACUACGUGCCAGCAGCCGCGGUAAUACGUAGGGUGCAAGCGUUAAUCGGAAUUACUGGGCGUAAAGCGUGCGCAGGCGGUUUGCUAAGACCGAUGUGAAAUCCCCGGGCUCAACCUGGGAACUGCAUUGGUGACUGGCAGGCUAGAGUAUGGCAGAGGAGGGUAGAAUUCCACGUGUAGCAGUGAAAUGCGUAGAGAUGUGGAGGAAUACCGAUGGCGAAGGCAGCCCCCUGGGCCAAUACUGACGCUCAUGCACGAAAGCGUGGGGAGCAAACAGGAUUAGAUACCCUGGUAGUCCACGCCCUAAACGAUGUCAACUAGUUGUUGGGGACUUCAUUUUCCUUAGUAACGUAGCUAACGCGUGAAGUUGACCGCCUGGGGAGUACAGUCGCAAGAUUAAAACUUAAAGGAAUUGACGGGGUCAUAGCUGUUUCCU
Molecule: ribosomal RNA, 587 nt
Filed under: uncultured bacterium
Lineage: Bacteria
Description: partial 16S ribosomal RNA
Rfam family: Bacterial small subunit ribosomal RNA
Source: RNAcentral